AACGUAGGGAACCUGCCCAUGCGGCCGGGACAACUUCCGGAAACGGAUGCUGAUACCGGAUAAGGAAAGCGAAGGCAUCGUUUGCUUUGUUAAAGGAGCUGCAAGGCUCCGCGCAUGGAUGGACCUGCGGUGCAUUAGCUGGUUGGUGAGGUAAAGGCUCACCAAGGCGACGAUGCAUAGCCGGCCUGAGAGGGCGAACGGCCACACUGGGACUGAGACACGGCCCAGACUCCUACGGAAGGCAGCAG
This 248-nucleotide ribosomal RNA is filed under the name uncultured bacterium. RNAcentral describes it as "partial 16S ribosomal RNA". It matches the Rfam family "Bacterial small subunit ribosomal RNA", at positions 114 to 354 of the family's 1533-position model. The record is from RNAcentral.